CGCAGGGGGUGGAGAAGCAGCAGCAGCACCAACGCGGGCGCGGCAAGAGCGAGUUUUUUACGCGGCUGGAGCCUCUCUCGCAGCGAAGGGGCGGGUGCCUGCGGUCCGGGUUUAUCUUUACGCUUGGGAAAAGAAAGUACAAAUUUAAUGGCUCAAAAACCUUAUUAUCCAAGUAACUGGAGAGGCUGGAGAUGGAGCCCUAACCAAGUCCUGUGAAGAGCUGCCAAAAAAGCCUUCGGAAGCAAGAGCACAUUCUGGAUUGAGGAAAGAGCCGAGGAAAGACUCCAGUUUUGCUUGACAGAUCUGUGCAGAAUAUUUGAGCCCCGCUCCCCCCAACUUCUACCUCAUUUUUAUGCAUUUUGGUCAGUCAUGGCUGGGGAACUGUGUCUACUGCUCCUGUUGCUGUUUUGUGGAAGAACGAUUUCAGAAGUGCAGCCUUUAUACCAACCGCCUUCUGAAACUCUGGAUUUUGGGUUUGUUCCUGCAAAGACUUACGACACCGCAGCGUACCACGAACCUGGAGCAAUAGGGAUUUUGUUUCGAUUAGUCCACACUUUCCUCUAUUUAGUGCAACCAAAUUAUUUCCCUCAAGAUCUUAUCAAAAAACUAGCACAGCAAUCGUUUGGCAAAACCGCUGGUGAUUAUCAAAAGCCAGAAAAUGUUGUCCUGACCCUUCAGGCAGUUUACUAUGAAAUCGGGUUUAUAGUCUCUGCUGCUCUGGGAGUGCUGUUUCUUCUAUUGCUGCCUCUAGUGGGGCUUUGCUUCUGCAUGUGUCGUUGCUGUGACAACUGUGGCGGGGAGCUGCACCAAAGACAGAAGAAAAAUGCUGACUGUCAGAGGGGCUGCUUUGCUACAGUACUUUUCGUUGCUGCUUUAAUAAUCAGUAUUGGUGUGCUUUUUGCUUAUGCUGCUAACCAGCACCUCACAAGUCAAGUCAGAGGAGCAAGGAAGCUGGUGAACAGUAAUUUCAAAGACCUGAGGAUUUUCCUGAAUGAGACACCUGGGCAAAUUGACUAUUUGGUGAGUCAGUAUGACACUACCAAGAAGAAAGCACUUUCUGACCUUAAUAAUGUUGGGCCAUUGCUUGGCAGAAGAGUCCAAGAGCAGCUGGCAAAGGAGGUGCGCCCUGCACUCGAUGGAGCCCUAACCAUGGCAGGAGCUAUUCGUGAAACAAAGGAGGCUCUGGAGAACGUGAGUGUGUCUGUGGAGGUCCUGCAGGAGGGCACCGAGAAGCUGCAUGCCAACCUGACGGAUGUUAAAGAGCACCUGAUCAACACACUCGGGGAUUCAGCUUGCACAGCUGCCCAAGCGUCAUCCACCUGCAACGUCAUCAGGAAUUCCUUAGAUCAGCUAAACAUCAAUGCCAACUUCAGCAAGUUGCCGGGAGUGAAUGCUCAACUUGUCAAAGUCAAUGAGGUCCUUAAAACAGACCUCUCUAGUCUUGUUCAAAAGGGUUAUGCAGCAUUUAAUGAUACACCUGAUUUGGUGCUCAAUCAGACAAGGAACAUUUUAUCAGAUAUUAAAAAUGUACUGGAAGCUGUUGGUUCAAAUAUCACAAGCUUUACUAAAAUGCUUCCCAUCCACAAGAUAAUAGCAGACUUCACCCUAUAUCUAACUCAGGGUGAGACAUACGUUCAAGAAUAUUUUCCAGUAGUGGAGCAGUAUGAUUUCUACAGGUGGCUGGGUUGCUUAAUUCUCUGCUGCAUGGUGAUACUGAUCCUUGUAUUUUAUUACCUGGGAUUGUUAUGUGGUACCUGUGGUUAUGACAAAAAUGCCACUCCAACAACGAGAGGCUGUAUCUCAAACACUGGAGGAAACUUCCUGAUGGCCGGAGUUGGAUUCAGUUUUCUUUUCUCCUGGGUUCUGAUGCUAAUAGUAGUGGUCACUUUCAUUACGGGAGGAAAUGUGGAGAAGCUUGUUUGUGAACCAUUUGAAGACAGGAGUCUAUUCAAAGUUUUGGAUACGCCAUAUUUGCUGAAUCAGCAGCUGAAAUACUAUCUUUCUGCAAUCAUUUUAAAAAAUCCAAACAUUAACUUGACAUUUGAAAAAGUUUACAGUGAUUGCAAGGAAAACAAAGGCAUUUAUACUUCCCUGCACCUGGAAAACCUUUUCAACAUCCAUGAAAUUCUGAAUGUUAGAAUGUAUGCAGAAGAUGUAUCACUGAAAAUCAAGCAUAUUAAUAUAAAUCUAAGCAAUAUAGUUUUGCUUGAUGAGAGGGGAAAGGAGAAUUUGAUGAAUUUCAGUUCCUCGGGAAUAAAUGAGAUAAACUUUGCAGCGUAUCUGUCAGAGAUCAAUAAGAGUGUUACCAGAGUGGAUCUCUUGUCCUUUGCUAAUGAUUUGGAAGCACGAGCAGACCAACUGCCUAAAGGAGCAUUAGAAAAUGCAUUAAAAGGACAUGCAAAUAGUAUUCGCGUGAUACAUAACCAACAAGUUGUUCCAUUGGAGCAAGCAAUGAGCACUUUAAACCAGAGCAUAAGGUUACUGCAGAAAACAUCAUCAGAGCUUCCAGGAAAAGUCAGAAGUGUGAUCAGUGCUGUUAAUGCUGCACAACUUCUUAUAAACAACAAUGCUUCGUUCGUUAUUGUUCAGGAAACUAAAAAGUAUAUGGAUACUAUAAUCGGUUACUUUGAGCAGUAUGCUGAAUGGGUGAAGGAAUCGAUUGCUAUGGAAGUUGCAACUUGUAAGCCCAUUGCCAAUGUGGUCGAUACUGCUAUAGAUAUAUUUCUAUGCAGCUAUAUAACAGAUUCUUUGAAUGCCUUCUGGUUUGGCUUGGGGGGCUGUUCAGUAUUUCUAAUCCCUGCCAUCAUUUGUGCUGUGAAACUAGCCAAAUUCUACCGUAGGAUGGAUACAGAAGAUGUUUACGAUGAAUCAUGAUGACAUUAUACUUUUGCUACAAUAGCAGUGGAAAAACAACAACAGGGAAAUACUGCAAAGCCAAAUAUUUAUCACGUACCAUUACUUAUUAACACACAUGAUAACUACUUCUUUUUUAUAUUUUGUAGUGUUGAAACUAUGCCCAUGAAAAAGUAAGAGAUUUUAAUUGAUAUUAUAGCAUGUAAAGUGGGAGGGUUUUUUUUUUAAUUCGUAGGUGUUACAUAUUUGAUAUAUAUUGUAUUUAUUUUCUACAUUUUUUUGGCAUAUUGAUCACCAUACCUAUCACAAAUAGCUUCAUGCAGAUCAUGUUGAAGUAGAGCUUUCUGUAGAAUUAAUUCAAUAUACGUGACAUACCGUACAGUCCUUGGUAUUCCACAGGCUCCGCUAUGGACAUGCCUAGUUAACACUGUUUUUUUAAGUAUACUGUAUAUAUAUAUAUAAUGAGGUGUUUUAGUUGUCUUAUAUUCUUCUGUUUUUGUUGGCUAUUGCCAGCUGCUUUAGGCAAAGAGUUCGGAAAGGAAACUGAUAGCAUUUAAAACAAACACCUUAUUAAUUUUUUUUAAUUAUCAUCUUUGUAACCAUAGUGUGUAUGGAGUUGCAUCUUAUCAUUAACACAGUCCUUUCUUGGUAUAUUUAUUUUAUUACAGUUUGGAAAAUGGUAAUAAUGGUUAUCAUAAAGAGCAUUUAUAUGGUAUACACAAUCCAAUUCUGACAAGCUCUGUGGAACAGUGGUAGUGCAUACUGGAAAUGUGAUGGCCUUGGGAAAUAAUGCUGCAAGUAGCUCCUCUGGGAAGCACCUUUCCCGUCAAUGCUGAAUUCCGAAUUCUGAGCCAUGUUGUCCGGGGCCUGUCUAGUUAACUAAUGUUGAAUGGAAAGAGAACUGUGCAAACGUAUGCCAUGAAAUGCCAAGCCACACAGCAUCUAUUUUGUGUGUGUGUGGAUUACCAUUAACACAUGGAAUUAGUGGCUUCCAUUCUUGUUUUCUAAUACCAUUUUCCCACUGGGGGUUCUGUCUCUCAUCACAUAAUAUAUUUAUUUAUUGUAAACAGACUGCUCCGUGGUUUAUAUUUGUUUCUAUGGGUUGUUGUUCUUCUUCGGAUUAACUGCCCAGUCGAAAUUAACUCGGUUCUUGUUAUCAUGUCCAGAGAUGUUAAUACCAUGUAUAAAAUAUGUGUUUACAUGAAGAAUACAACCUGUGUACAGACACUUUUUUGUAUCUGUGUUUUUUACAGCUGUAUUUUAGCGGAUUUUUUAAUACUGUUUGUUAUACUUCACAUGCGACCUGUUCCGCAUGGCCAGUGUUUCUUCGGUGCUCUUGGGUGGCUGCAUUUGACUGUAAAACGUAUGGAAACCUGCAAUAUAUUUUGUGUCGUCUUCAGAAAAGUGAAUGCCAUUUGGCAGAUGAUUCUUCCCUAUUUCUGAAUUACUAAUUAACGAAGCAUAUUGUUUUCUUGCAAGCAGUUAGCUUAAAACAAACAAAUUCUGCAGAAAUGUGCAACGGAAAGAUAUUACAAUUUUUUUCUUUGUAACCUGAAUUGUCAUAGCAAGAAGUAAUAAAAGUGGAAAGGGCCUGUUCAGACCUUCGGCAAAUUUCAUAGAGGGCAUGUGUGAUGGAUGCCAAACUGCACACUGUGUUGCUGUAACACAGGCUUCCUCAACCUCGGCCCUCCAGAUCUUUUUGAGACUACAAUUCCCAUCAUCCCUGACCAUGGGUCCUGCUAGCUAGGGAUCAUGGGAGUUGUAGGUCAAAAGCAUCUGAAGUGCUGAGGUUGAGGAAGCCUGCUGUAACACCUAAAUGUAGCGUAUGCGCGUACAUCCCUAGCUAUACAUGCCUAAUAUGCAUACCGGUAAUCAUUAUUUUCAUACACAUUUUUUUUGAGAGAGAAAGCUUGUACUUAUACGCGUAGGGAUGGCACACCUAUUGACCUCACUUAGAUGUUACAGUGGUGUGGAGAUGAAGUGGCUGUGGGGCAAAAUCCCACUUUGCAGCUGCUUCACUCAAUUUGCCAAAGGUGUGUCUAGGCCUAAAGUUAAUACACUAUGGCCCUGAUGAGGUGUUCAUAGGUUUAACUUGUAAACUGUGUUAUAUCUAUAAUAAAGAAUUGGCUAUAUUUUGUUAAAUAGGUGUAAAGUGUUGAGAGUAUAUGGGGAAGCUGUUUCACCCCACUGUCCUUUUACUUGUAAAAGUUGUGAAUAGGAUUGAUCUGCACAAAAAAAGCUGUCAAGAGCUAUCUAACUGAUGAUAACUAAAAGCUGUGUGGGGAAAUAUGGGCUGUUGGGGGCAUGGCUGGGGAGGGCUUUUUAUCUUUUAAGGCAGUGGUGGCCAAACUUGGCCCUCCAGCUGUUCUUGGACUACAGCUCCCAUCAUCCCUAGCUAACAGGACCAGUGGUGAGGGAUGAUGGGAAUUGUAGUCCCCAAAACACCUAGAGGGCCAAGUUUGGAAAGUUUUAAGGCAACAGUCAGCACUGGGGAAUAUGAUGGGUCUUCUAACGUUACACAUGACUUGCUGAUUUCAUUAGAUGGUCUCCAUUCAUUUGGAAACCCUUUUGGUAGAAUUUCGCGUAAGGAUAAUUCCUGGCAAUCUUAGAAUUGCUUAACUGCAUGAUGAUGGCACAUCAGUUGCCCAGUCUGCACACUUGGGACUAAAUGCAUUAUUGUGCUGUGUCUCGUGCAGAAUUUGUGCUUUUCUCCCCAUAUCUCAGUGGUGGGGAAAUGGCGCACAUGAAGCAACCCUCAAACUGAAUGGGAAUUGGUAUUAUAUAGUUUUUCACUAGGGAAACUGAUGAUUUCUACUAGGCAAUGAGUAGAAUAUCUUAAAAUAUGUAAGUAAAUUAUAUCUCAAUAUCUGACAUUCCAAGUUGUAGGUUGUAAUAAGUUCCUGUUUUUAAUUUGAUAACAUCCUCAAAUCAUUUAAAUAAAAUAUCUUGAUUAAUGUUUGUGUAAUUUUUACAUGCAAGGAGC
Non-coding RNA from Zootoca vivipara (common lizard), 5836 nucleotides. Lineage: Eukaryota; Metazoa; Chordata; Lepidosauria; Squamata; Lacertidae. The record is from RefSeq and is a predicted model, not a curated record.